GGGGCUGUAGCUCAGUCUGGCAGAGCACCUCGUUCGCAACGAGGGGGUCGUCGGUUCAAAUCCGAUCAGCUCCA
RNAcentral lists this transfer RNA (74 nucleotides) under Actinomycetes bacterium. Its description in RNAcentral is "Actinobacteria bacterium tRNA-Ala". It matches the Rfam family "tRNA". From Rfam's summary of the family: Transfer RNA (tRNA) molecules are approximately 80 nucleotides in length. Their secondary structure includes four short double-helical elements and three loops (D, anti-codon, and T loops). The record is from RNAcentral. Lineage: Bacteria; Bacillati; Actinomycetota; Actinomycetes.